CCUACGGGGGGCUGCAGUGGGGAAUAUUGCGCAAUGGGCGAAAGCCUGACGCAGCGACGCCGCGUGAGGGAUGAAGGUCUUCGGAUCGUAAACCUCUGUCAGCAGGGAAGAACGGCCACUGUGCUAAUCAGCAGUGAAUUGACGGUACCUGCAAAGGAAGCACCGGCUAACUCCGUGCCAGCAGCCGCGGUAAUACGGAGGGUGCGAGCGUUAAUCGGAAUUACUGGGCGUAAAGCGCUCGUAGGCGGUAUGUCAAGUCAAGGGUGAAAUCCCCGCGCUCAACGUGGGAACUGCCUUUGAAACUGGCAAACUGGAGUGUGUGAGAAGUAUGCGGAAUGCGUGGUGUAGCGGUGAAAUGCAUAGAUAUCACGCAGAACUCCGAUUGCGAAGGCAGCAUACCGGCGCUCAACUGACGCUCAUGCACGAAAGUGUGGGUAUCGAACAGGAUUAGAUACCCUGGUAGUC
Molecule: ribosomal RNA, 465 nt
Filed under: uncultured bacterium
Lineage: Bacteria
Description: partial 16S ribosomal RNA
Rfam family: Bacterial small subunit ribosomal RNA
Source: RNAcentral